Molecule: ribosomal RNA, 1047 nt
Filed under: Salmonella enterica
Lineage: Bacteria; Pseudomonadati; Pseudomonadota; Gammaproteobacteria; Enterobacterales; Enterobacteriaceae
Description: partial 23S ribosomal RNA
Rfam family: Bacterial large subunit ribosomal RNA
Source: RNAcentral
AGACCCGAAACCCGGUGAUCUAGCCAUGGGCAGGUUGAAGGUUGGGUAACACUAACUGGAGGACCGAACCGACUAAUGUUGAAAAAUUAGCGGAUGACCUGUGGCUGGGGGUGAAAGGCCAAUCAAACCGGGAGAUAGCUGGUUCUCCCCGAAAGCUAUUUAGGUAGCGCCUCGUGAAUUCAUCUCCGGGGGUAGAGCACUGUUUCGGCUAGGGGGCCAUCCCGGCUUACCAACCCGAUGCAAACUGCGAAUACCGGAGAAUGUUAUCACGGGAGACACACGGCGGGUGCUAACGUCCGUCGUGAAGAGGGAAACAACCCAGACCGCCAGCUAAGGUCCCAAAGUCAUGGUUAAGUGGGAAACGAUGUGGGAAGGCCCAGACAGCCAGGAUGUUGGCUUAGAAGCAGCCAUCAUUUAAAGAAAGCGUAAUAGCUCACUGGUCGAGUCGGCCUGCGCGGAAGAUGUAACGGGGCUAAACCAUGCACCGAAGCUGCGGCAGCGACACUAUGUGUUGUUGGGUAGGGGAGCGUUCUGUAAGCCUGUGAAGGUGGCCUGUGAGGGUUGCUGGAGGUAUCAGAAGUGCGAAUGCUGACAUAAGUAACGAUAAAGCGGGUGAAAAGCCCGCUCGCCGGAAGACCAAGGGUUCCUGUCCAACGUUAAUCGGGGCAGGGUGAGUCGACCCCUAAGGCGAGGCCGAAAGGCGUAGUCGAUGGGAAACGGGUUAAUAUUCCCGUACUUGGUGUUACUGCGAAGGGGGGACGGAGAAGGCUAUGUUGGCCGGGCGACGGUUGUCCCGGUUUAAGCGUGUAGGUGUGUGUUCCAGGUAAAUCCGGUUCACUUUAACACUGAGGCGUGACGACGAGGCACUACGGUGCUGAAGCAACAAAUGCCCUGCUUCCAGGAAAAGCCUCUAAGCAUCAGGUAACAUCAAAUCGUACCCCAAACCGACACAGGUGGUCAGGUAGAGAAUACCAAGGCGCUUGAGAGAACUCGGGUGAAGGAACUAGGCAAAAUGGUGCCGUAACUUCGGGAGAAGGCACGCUGACA